This 478-nucleotide ribosomal RNA is filed under the name uncultured bacterium. RNAcentral describes it as "bacterial SSU rRNA". It matches the Rfam family "Bacterial small subunit ribosomal RNA", at positions 1014 to 1501 of the family's 1533-position model. The record is from RNAcentral.
AGCCUUUCGGGGCAUCCGUCGAGGUGCUGCAUGGUUGUCGUCAGCUCGUGCCGUGAGGUGUCGGCUUAAGUGCCAUAAUGAGCGCAACCCCCAUCGCCAGUUACCAGCGGGUAAAGUUGGGGACUCUGGCGAGACUGCCGGCGCAAGCUGUGAGGAAGGCGGGGAUGACGUCAAAUCAGCACGGCCCUUACGUCCGGGGCGACACACGUGUUACAAUGGCAGGUACAGAGAGAAGCGAUGCGGCGACGCAGAGCGGAACUUCAAAGCCUGUCUCAGUUCGGAUUGGAGUCUGCAACCCGACUCCAUGAAGCUGGAUUCGCUAGUAAUCGCGCAUCAGCCACGGCGCGGUGAAUACGUUCCCGGGCCUUGUACACACCGCCCGUCAAGCCAUGGAAGCCGGGAGUGCCUGAAGUGUGCAACCGCAAGGAGCGCCCUAAGGUAAAACCGGUGACUGGGGCUAAGUCGUAACAAGGUAACC